UACGAAGGGGGCUAGCGUUGCUCGGAAUCACUGGGCGUAAAGCGCACGUAGGCGGCUUUCUAAGUCAGGGGUGAAAUCCUGGAGCUCAACUCCAGAACUGCCUUUGAUACUGGAGAGCUUGAGUCCGGGAGAGGUGAGUGGAACUCCGAGUGUAGAGGUGAAAUUCGUAGAUAUUCGCAAGAACACCAGUGGCGAAGGCGGCUCACUGGCCCGGUACUGACGCUGAGGUGCGAAAGCGUGGGGAGCAAACAGG
RNAcentral lists this ribosomal RNA (253 nucleotides) under uncultured bacterium. RNAcentral describes it as "partial 16S ribosomal RNA". It matches the Rfam family "Bacterial small subunit ribosomal RNA", at positions 524 to 776 of the family's 1533-position model. The record is from RNAcentral.